UCCCCUGUAGCUCAGUUGGUAGAGCAAAGGACUGUUAAUCCUUGGGUCACAAGUUCGAGUCUUGUCGGGGGAGCCA
RNAcentral lists this transfer RNA (76 nucleotides) under Gammaproteobacteria bacterium. Its description in RNAcentral is "tRNA-Asn". It matches the Rfam family "tRNA". Rfam says of the family: Transfer RNA (tRNA) molecules are approximately 80 nucleotides in length. Their secondary structure includes four short double-helical elements and three loops (D, anti-codon, and T loops). Lineage: Bacteria; Pseudomonadati; Pseudomonadota; Gammaproteobacteria. RNAcentral also lists the same sequence under 2 other names. The record is from RNAcentral.